CCUUGGAUACUGUGCACCUUGCCUUAAUCAAAUGGCCUAAGUUGAGGGUGGCUAUCAUAGGGAUGUGUGAUAUAGAAUGAGUAUGAAUAAAGGUAGAAUAAAAAAAGAAUAAAAAGCUAGGUGCAGAGGAAAAAAGCAAGAAAAAGAAAAUUUGUGAAAAAAGAAUAAGUAAUUGAGAAAAGACUGCACCCAUCCUAAAUAAUUGUGAUCAAUAA
This 215-nucleotide long non-coding RNA is filed under the name Capsicum annuum. Its description in RNAcentral is "long non-coding RNA (CANN_LNC014332)". Lineage: Eukaryota; Viridiplantae; Streptophyta; Magnoliopsida; Solanales; Solanaceae. The record is from RNAcentral.